Molecule: unclassified non-coding RNA, 253 nt
Filed under: uncultured Oligoflexales bacterium
Lineage: Bacteria; Pseudomonadati; Bdellovibrionota; Oligoflexia; Oligoflexales
Description: contains 16S-23S intergenic spacer region
Rfam family: Bacterial small subunit ribosomal RNA
Source: RNAcentral
UACGGAGGGUGCAAGCGUUGCUCGGAAUUAUUGGGCGUAAAGGGGAGGUAGGUGGUCUUGUUUGUCUGGGGUGAAAUCCCUGAGCUUAACUCAGGAAGUGCCUUAGAAACGGCAAGACUGGAGUCCUGGAGAGGGUCGUGGAAUUCCCGGUGUAGAGGUGAAAUUCGUAGAGAUCGGGAGGAACACCAGAGGCGAAGGCGGCGACCUGGACAGGUACUGACACUAAACUCCGAAAGCGUGGGGAGCAAACAGG